This is a long non-coding RNA of Toxorhynchites rutilus septentrionalis, 1109 nucleotides long. RefSeq lists it as uncharacterized. The transcript is spliced from 3 exons. NCBI's taxonomy places the organism in Eukaryota, Metazoa, Arthropoda, Insecta, Diptera, Culicidae. The record is from RefSeq and is a predicted model, not a curated record.
GUUUUUUCACCACUUGUAGGCAAUGGUGAUUUUCACUUACAUAGAGUACUAAUUUGAUUAAGGAAAAAUCAUGUUCAUUCAUAAUUUUCAUUUUAAAAGUGUAUUCAUUCCUUCUGCAAAUCCAUACUGUCAUGCCUCUUCCCCAAUAUCGUCAACGCGAAUAGUUCGUUAGUCGAAAAUACUGAAUAAUUAAACAAACUAAAUGGCGUCACUGGUGGUUCUUUUUUCCACUCCGCUAAACUGUCAUCUCAAACAAAAACAAAUGGAUCAUACAACUGCUAUGAAUACAUUCGACUCGUUUGCUUCCAUCAAUCGGUAAGUGAGAAAGAUGAUUUCUCCCAUCACCACAGUGCGGAUUUCCACUUCUAUCACAGCAGCCAACAACAUCCGUUUUCCUGCUGCAGUAACCUCCAACCCCUGUUGGCAAUGCCGGGGAACAGCAUUAACAGCAGCAGCAGCAGCAGAAUUUGACCAUGGUAUGGUAUUGCGAAGAACUUUCCCCAUUAGAGGUUCCGUGCUUCGCGCACAUUCAAAAAUCCUCUUCAGACACGAAAACUCAACGACAAGGAGGUAUUUAUCAACUUGCUCAGCUGAAUUACCACCCGGAGGAACCCGAAUGCACUGAUUCCGUUGUAUAGUAGAAUGAAAAUAGGCGAGGUAAGCGAACGUAAUCGCAUGAUAUUUUAAUGUUCGCAUUUUUAUCCGGAUCAUACAACUGCUAUGAAUACAUCCGACUCAAUCAAUCGGCGAAUGAGAAAGAUGAUUUCCCUCAUCACCAUAUUGCUUAUUUCCACUUCUGUCACACCAGCCAACAGCAUCAGCUUUCCCGCAGCAGUAUCCUUUAAGUCCAGGGUGCUAUUCCGGGGAACAGCAUCAACAGCAACAGCAGCAGGACCUGGCCAUAGUAUUUCGGGCAAUUUUCCCCAUCGGAGAUCCCGUGCUUCACGCACAUUGAAGAAUCCUCCUCAGCCACAUAUCUGUGUCAUCGAGGGCAAAGAGGUAUUCAUCAAUGUACUCAGUCGGAUUUGAAUCGUCAAUCUAGACAACCCGGAUGCACCGAUUCCAUUAUAUACCUUAUUUUUAUUAUACAUGGAUUUUUAUUAUUUUUU